UUUUUGGAAUCCUACAACACACACUCCCAUUCUGAAGAUAAUGAGAGAGAAUUAAAAUCGAUGUGAAAAGACUUUUCUCCUUUCCAUCAGGAUAUGGGAACUUGCCUUCACUAACUCUUUUUUUGCUUCAUCCAGCCUCCCGGUGCCUGGCAUCCACAUCAGUAUUUACACACUUCAUCAUUCCUCAGGUGAUUUAUUUUCCUUGGUCCAUUUUGCCCAGUGACUAAGUUUCGAAGCACGGAAGUUGACAAGAUUUGUCGCUGAUAUCAAUCUUCAUGAAGUUUACCGAAAUGAGCAAAAUCUCCCACUCUGCUCCCCAGCUGCUAUCACCAAGAGAUGAAGAAGGGACGAUCCUCAAGGUCCCUUCACCAUCCCCGGGGCCUGAAUCCCAGCGACUGACCUCUGAUGUGCAGCCAGCCGCUCACAGAGAGCUGGGGCCCUGUUGAGAAAGCCUCAUGCUAUGGGUCUCCUGAAACUGAAGACACAUGGACGGCAGCAGGAAGUUGAUUGUGUCUUGUUCUGCGUGUGUGUGAUGAGCAAGGGCUCUAGGAAGAGGCCAAGUCCCUGACUCCCCUGCUUGCUAACUGUGUGUUCUUUGACAGAACUGCACUCUGCCUCUGUUUCCUCACCAGCAACAUGGGGAAUAGUUUCUACCUGUUUUAUCAGUCUGGGUUCUUAUAACAAAACACCAUAGGGUGGGUGGCUUAAACAACAGACACCUAUUUCUCACAGUUCUGGAGGCUGGAAGUCUAAUAUCAGGGGGCCAACAUGGUCGGGGUCUGGGGACACCCUCUUGCUGGUUUGUAUACAGCUGCCUUCUAACUGUGUCUUCUCAUGGUAGAGAGCAGAGAAAGAGAGAAGAAGCAAGAAGCUCUCUUAACUCUAUUCUUAUAAGGGCACUAAUUCUAUCCUGAGGGCUCCACCCUUAUAACUUAAUUACGUCCAAAGACCUCACUCCCUCACAUUAUCCCAUUAGGAGUCAGGGUUUCAAAAUAUGAGUUUUGGUGGGAACACAAAUAUUCAAUCUAUAACACUACCUCAUGCAGUUGUUAUAUAAUUAG
RNAcentral lists this long non-coding RNA (1061 nucleotides) under Bos indicus x Bos taurus (hybrid cattle). RNAcentral's name for it is "lncRNA (ENSBIXG00005028564.1)". Lineage: Eukaryota; Metazoa; Chordata; Mammalia; Artiodactyla; Bovidae. The record is from RNAcentral.